UACGUAGGGGGCAAGCGUUGUCCGGAAUCAUUGGGCGUAAAGCGCGUGUAGGCGGUCCGGUAAGUCCGCUGUGAAAGUCGGGGGCUCAACCCUCGGAUGCCGGUGGAUACUGUCGGGCUUGAGUACGGAAGAGGCGAGUGGAAUUCCUGGUUUAGCGGUGAAAUGCGCAGAUAUCAGGAGGAACACCAAUUGCGAAGGCAGCUCGCUGGGACGUUACUGACGCUGAGACGCGAAAGCGUGGGGAGCAAACAGG
This 253-nucleotide ribosomal RNA is filed under the name uncultured bacterium. RNAcentral's name for it is "partial 16S ribosomal RNA". It matches the Rfam family "Bacterial small subunit ribosomal RNA", at positions 524 to 776 of the family's 1533-position model. The record is from RNAcentral.